Eriocheir sinensis (Chinese mitten crab) is the source of this 3230-nucleotide long non-coding RNA. RefSeq lists it as uncharacterized. Lineage: Eukaryota; Metazoa; Arthropoda; Malacostraca; Decapoda; Varunidae. The record is from RefSeq and is a predicted model, not a curated record. The transcript is spliced from 5 exons.
AAGGAGGAAAUGAGUGAAAGAAAGAAUAAUAAUGAAAAUCGAGGGAGUCCAAAUCCGCCGCCAACUUUCCUGCCGAGCCUCGCGCGACAUUAUUGGCCUUGUUUACAUCCUCACGGGCGCCGCAGACAGGACUUCCUCCUCCGUAAUUCACUCAGGUUCCUCAGGGGUCCUGUGCAUUGAUUGUGAAGCCACACCCACCACCAGCAAGAUUGUGCGAACGGCUGUUGAAUACACACUCAACAACAUUAUGAUGGAUCAGAUGUCGAGUCAUCAACAGCUGCGGGUGCUGGUCGAGCAGCUGCAACGUGAGGCAAACAUAGAACGUAUGAAAACCUCGGACGCAAUUAAUCAUCUGAAGAGGUACAUCUCAGAGCACGAGCCCGAGGACUACCUUCUCAUCGGCUUCGCCUCACAGAAGGCAAACCCCUUCCGGGAGAAGAGCUCCUGCACCGUCCUGUAAUGAGUAUGUGAGGGAACAUCAGAAGGACGACUAUCUCUGCCACCCCGCCAGGAACCCCAGGGCCAACCCUUUCCGCGAGAAGACCCUCUGUCAGAUCAUUUAACCCAACGCACUGUGCUAAUUUUAUUGACAAGUGACUUUUAAUCUUAGUUAGUCAUGUUUUUGUUUUAAUGAUGUGAAAAACUUAUGAGAUAUAUAAGGUUUUAUUACCUUAUUUUAUUCUAAUAACAUUGGGUGUUUCAUAGUCAUAUCUAUAUCAUAUUGAAAGUUUGUCUUAUUUUAUUAACAAAGACUUCUGUAAGAAUUUAACUUUGUGAUAUUUCUUGAGUUGUGGUGUGGUAAAGUUUAAAACUGACUGUAGUGGUUUAUGUAAGUGCAAAUAACUUGGUUGUGGUUUGUGAUGUGCUUUCAGGCUUUGAAAACACUAAGUUCUUUAAUUUAUGCCCUUUCCAGUACUCAGCCUCCAACAGUGGUGUUGCAAAAAUUGGGUGUAACUAUGAAUGAUAUAUGGAAAUUAAGUUUUCAAUUUUAUGGAAUUUAUUCUGUUACCAUGGUUAAGAAUGGAAAGAAGAAUAUGGUUCCACUCUACUUUUCUCUACUUCCUUCCUUAGUUGUAUGAGACUCCAUGUUCUCUGGAAGUGUACUUUGUUUGCUCCUCACUUUUGUGCUAUUCCCUUUCUUCAUAUAUGUAUUCAUUACUUGUGAAUUUUCACAGCAACCACUUGUUUGAAAUUACUGGUCUUGGGGCAGUAGUCUGCUUGGUGUUCAGUCACAGUGUUACCGAACACUAAUGCACAAACAAACUGGCUGACAAACACAAACCAUAACGUCAGUAUUGCCAUCACCACCAGCAGAGGGAAGGUGUGAGGAAUCGUCGCUUCGCUCAAGGUUAGGAUAUCUGUUACGGUAUAAAUUUAAUAUAUAAAAGAUUGUUGUCACACUAUUAAUAAUACAGCUCUAUAGUUUUCAACUUGUUUAAUGUAGCAGAAGCAUAGAAUAUAAAUCUACACAUUAAUAUUUAUUACUUGUACUAUUACCAUGUAGUUGAUAUUACGGCGUAGUUGUUUCUAAUCAAAUGGCUGCUAAGGGGACAGUUCUUGGUGUUUUCUCACUGUAGGCAGGACUAGUUUGCAUGUUCGUAAUCUCAAGUAAAUGAUGGACUAAAAUUGUCUGGAAAUUAGUUGCAGAGUGAUAUACAUACAUAUAUUUAGUGUAGUGUGACAAACUCAUUGGGGGAAGGUCAUCUCUUGUGGGGUAAUGAUAAUGAUCAUGUUAAUGUUGUAACAAUAAUAACAAUAAAAAUUAUAGUAAUAGCAACAAUAAAAACAUGAUUUAGACAGAUGACAAGCAUGCACUUUUGUGAGUAUAAUAUAUGUGUGCAAUAGAGAAGCCUCAUAUCAAUGAGUAUGCUAUUAUACUAUUAUUGUAGUAUGAGAAAGUUAUUUCCAUGUAUUGUACUCUUAGUAAUGAAAUGGAAAGGACAUCUAGAUACAUUUUGAAGUAGGUAAAUCUAGUAGAUGAAUGAAUCACAGGUAUUAUUGCAUCUUACAGAAAUUUAGGACAAGAUGCCAUCAGUAAUUUCUUUCAUUGUAAUCCAGAGUACAGAAUUGUCCCAUCCACAAUGAGAAGGCACCACAGACUUACCCUAACCCAACUUGGGCAGGAAGAUAAGUACAUAAGUAAUAUGUUGUUUUCCUUGACACGUUGUCCGUUGUUAUUGGCAGCCAUACCUCGCCUCACUGCCAACGCAUUUCUUCACUUCCACACACAGCUUGAGUUUCUGGCAGGCAGCAGCUUGAAGGUGUUGUCAUGCACCCACCUCUUUCCAGUACUUACUCUUACUUAUUUAUGUUGCCAUCCAGUCAUUGUAUAUUUCAUAUUCCAUUCCCUGAGAACUUGGCCUUCAAUAACCAGAAGCAAAGACUCUGCCAUGGUGAUUUUUUUUUAAUUUCCUCUGCAUCAAAGUUUGUUUAAGGCAGCUUUUAGAGCAUUAAAUAAAUCAAUAAGAUGACAUCCAUUAUAAUUGAGUAUAUUCAGAACAGUCUUGAAACAUAAUAAUCCUUUUUUAGAUAACAUAACUAAAAUAUUGAAGUUACUAAAAUGUUCAUGUCACAGUCAAAUAAAUUUAUGAUGAUAUUUAAAUGGACUAACAUGGUACUGAAGAUGGUUUACUGCCUUUUGAGAAUUGACAAAAUUCACUCAAUUCUUAGAUCUUACAGUGUUGCCUUAACUAUAAACCUCCAUGGAAAUUAUUUUGGAGGAAUCUACACACAUUCAUAAUUAUUAUUGUCAAGUGUUAUGUUUUUGCAGCUAAACUCAUCAGACCCUUUUGUCAUUUAUCCAUCUCUGUAUUUGUUGCAGUUCAUCAUCCACUCUGGCUCCAUUCACUAACUUAAAAUAGGAGUUUAGUGUCUAUUUGAUCAAUUUAUUAACAAGUUUACUCCCUUAUGAUGUAUGUUUUGCAUGUGUGGAAAGUUUUAUCUUGUAAGUCUGGCAAAUGGAACUGAAAAAGAUGUUGGCCUAGACAAGACUGUGUUGGUAAUUGGAAUAAAAGCUUUUAAGUGUUUUGAAAUGUUUUCACAAAUUUAUUAGGAUUAAGAAUCAGUACUUGACUCAGAUUUAACACCAUGUGACUGUAUACCUAAACCCAAAAGUUGGCUUUACAGAAUUUAAUUGGAUGGUGAUAGCAUCAAGAUCUUGUUUUUAGGAUGGCAGCUGUAAUAUUCCUGCAGUGGUGUAUACCAGAGUAUCAGUAAACAGUCGCUGGUAA